This 727-nucleotide ribosomal RNA is filed under the name uncultivated soil bacterium clone S010. RNAcentral's name for it is "bacterial SSU rRNA". It matches the Rfam family "Bacterial small subunit ribosomal RNA", at positions 62 to 764 of the family's 1533-position model. The record is from RNAcentral.
UCGAACGCGAAAGACACCUUCGGGUGUCGAGUAGAGUGGCGCACGGGUGAGUAACACGUGGGUAAUUUCCCUUCGGGUGGGGAAUAGCGGCUGGAAACGGCCAUUAAUACCGCAUAAUGCAGCGGCUCCGAGUGGAGACAGUUGUUAAAGCGGGGGAUUCCCGCAAGGGGACCUCGCGCCUGAAGAAAAGCCCACGGCGGAUUAGCUAGUUGGUGAGGUAAUGGCUCACCAAGGCGACGAUCCGUAACCGGCCUGAGAGGGCGGUCGGUCACACUGACACUGAACAACGGGUCAGACUCCUACGGGAGGCAGCAGUCGGGAAUUUUGGGCAAUGGGCGCAAGCCUGACCCAGCAACGCCGCGUGAAGGAUGAAAUCCUUCGGGAUGUAAACUUCGCAAGAAUGGGAAGAAUAAGUUUGAGCCAAUACCUCAAACGAUGACGGUACCAUUUGUAAGCUCCGGCUAACUCCGUGCCAGCAGCCGCGGUAAUACGGGGGGAGCAAGCGUUGUUCGGAUUUACUGGGCGUAAAGGGCGCGUAGGCGGCCACGACAAGUCACUUGUGAAAUCUCCGGGCUUAACUCGGAUAGGUCAAGUGAUACUGUCGGGCUAGAGUGCGGAAGGGGCAACUGGAAUUCUCGGUGUAGCGGUGAAAUGCGUAGAUAUCGAGAGGAACACCUGCGCCGAAGGCGGUUGCUGGCCGACACUGACGCUGAGCGCGGAACUAGGG